This 396-nucleotide ribosomal RNA is filed under the name uncultured bacterium. RNAcentral's name for it is "bacterial SSU rRNA". It matches the Rfam family "Bacterial small subunit ribosomal RNA", at positions 521 to 916 of the family's 1533-position model. The record is from RNAcentral.
UAAUACGUAGGGGGCAAGCGUUGUCCGGAUUUAUUGGGCGUAAAGCGCGCGCAGGCGGUUGUUUAAGUCGGGUGUCUAAACCUUGGGCUCAACCUGGGGACGCAUCCGAAACUGGGCAACUGGAGUGUAGGAGAGGAAAGUGGAAUUCCACGUGUAGCGGUGAAAUGCGUAGAGAUGUGGAGGAACACCAGUGGCGAAGGCGACUUUCUGGCCUAUAACUGACGCUGAGGCGCGAAAGCGUGGGGAGCAAACAGGAUUAGAUACCCUGGUAGUCCACGCCGUAAACGAUGCAUGCUAGGUGUUAGGGGUUUCGAUACCCUUGGUGCCGAAGUAAACACAGUAAGCAUGCCGCCUGGGGAGUACGCUCGCAAGAGUGAAACUCAAAGGAAUUGACGG